Molecule: ribosomal RNA, 505 nt
Filed under: uncultured bacterium
Lineage: Bacteria
Description: partial 16S ribosomal RNA
Rfam family: Bacterial small subunit ribosomal RNA
Source: RNAcentral
GACGAACGCUGGCGGCGUGCCUAAUACAUGCAAGUAGGACGCACAGUCUAUACCGUAGCUUGCUACACCAUAGGCUGUGAGUUGCGAACGGGUGAGUAACGCGUAGGUAACCUGCCUAUUAGAGGGGGAUAACUAUUGGAAACGAUAGCUAAUACCGCAUAACAGUAUGUAACACAUGUUAGAUGCUUGAAAGAUGCAAUUGCAUCGCUAGUAGAUGGACCUGCGUUGUAUUAGCUAGUAGGAAGGGUAAUGGCCUACCUAGGCGACGAUACAUAGCCGAACUGAGAGGGUGGUCGGCCACACUGGGACUGAGACACGGCCCAGACUCCUACGGGAAGCAGCAGUAGGGAAUCUUCGGCAAUGGGGGGAACCCUGACCGAGCAACGCCGCGUGAGUGAAGAAGGUUUUCGGAUCGUAAAGCUCUGUUGUUAAGGAAGAACGAGUGUGAGAAUGGAAAGUUCAUACUGUGACGGUACUUAACCAGAAAGGGACGGCUAACUACGUG